AUACUUACCUGGCGUAGGGGUUAACCGUGAUCAUGAAGGCGGUUCCCCCGGAGUGAGGCUUGAUCAUUGCACUUUACGAUUGAGUUGACCUCCGCGAUUAUUCCUAAUGUGAAUAACUCGUGCGUAAAAUUUUUGGUAGCCGGGAAUGGCGUUCGCGCCGUCCCGAC
Molecule: small nuclear RNA, 167 nt
Organism: Lucilia cuprina (Australian sheep blowfly)
Lineage: Eukaryota; Metazoa; Arthropoda; Insecta; Diptera; Calliphoridae
Rfam family: U1 spliceosomal RNA
About the family: U1 is a small nuclear RNA (snRNA) component of the spliceosome (involved in pre-mRNA splicing).
Source: Rfam